RNAcentral lists this small RNA (30 nucleotides) under Bombyx mori (domestic silkworm). Its description in RNAcentral is "ovarian small RNA-27228". The record is from RNAcentral. Lineage: Eukaryota; Metazoa; Arthropoda; Insecta; Lepidoptera; Bombycidae.
UCCCCGCACAAAACGGGUGGGACCCCUAGC